Molecule: ribosomal RNA, 345 nt
Filed under: uncultured bacterium
Lineage: Bacteria
Description: bacterial SSU rRNA
Rfam family: Bacterial small subunit ribosomal RNA
Source: RNAcentral
CCCUUCGGGGGUGCUCGAGCGGCGAACGGGUGAGUAACACGUGAGUAAUCUGCCCCUGGCUUUGGGAUAACCCUCGGAAACGGGGGCUAAUACCGGGUAUUCAUCUUCUGCGGCAUCGUGGGGGGUGGAAAGUUUUGGCGGCUGGGGAUGGGCUCGCGGCCUAUCAGCUUGUUGGUGGGGUAAUGGCCUACCAAGGCGUCGACGGGUAGCCGGCCUGAGAGGGCGACCGGCCACACUGGGACUGAGACACGGCCCAGACUCCUACGGGAGGCAGCAGUGGGGAAUAUUGCACAAUGGGCGAAAGCCUGAUGCAGCGACGCCGCGUGAGGGAUGACGGCCUUCGGG